GACGAACGCUGGCGGCGUGCUUAACACAUGCAAGUCGAACGGACAGGCCCUGCUUUUGUGGGGUGCUCGAGUGGCGAACGGGUGAGUAACCCGUGAGUAACCUGCCCUUGACUUUGGGAUAACUUCAGGAAACUGGGGCUAAUACCGGAUAGGAGCUCCUGCUGCAUGGUGGGGGUUGGAAAGUUUCGGCGGUUGGGGAUGGACUCGCGGCUUAUCCGCUUGUUGGUGGGGUAGUGGCUUACCAAGGCUUUGACGGGUAGCCGGCCUGAGAGGGUGACCGGCCACAUUGGGGCUGAGAUACGGCCCAGACUCCUACGGGAGGCAGCAGUGGGGAAUAUUGCACAAUGGGCGGAAGCCUGAUGCAGCAACGCCGCGUGCGGGAUGACGGCCUUCGGGUUGUAAACCGCUUUCGCCUGUGACGAAGCGUGAGUGACGGUAAUGGGUAAAGAAGCACCGGCUAACUACGUG
RNAcentral lists this ribosomal RNA (468 nucleotides) under uncultured bacterium. RNAcentral's name for it is "partial 16S ribosomal RNA". It matches the Rfam family "Bacterial small subunit ribosomal RNA", at positions 28 to 507 of the family's 1533-position model. The record is from RNAcentral.